Molecule: ribosomal RNA, 497 nt
Filed under: uncultured bacterium
Lineage: Bacteria
Description: partial 16S ribosomal RNA
Rfam family: Bacterial small subunit ribosomal RNA
Source: RNAcentral
GAUGAACGCUGGCGGCGUGCCUAAUACAUGCAAGUCGAGCGAACGGACGAGAAGCUUGCUUCUCUGAUGUUAGCGGCGGACGGGUGAGUAACACGUGGAUAACCUACCUAUAAGACUGGGAUAACUUCGGGAAACCGGAGCUAAUACCGGACAAUAUUUUGAACCGCAUGGUUCAAAAGUGAAAGACGGUCUUGCUGUCACUUAUAGAUGGAUCCGCGCUGCAUUAGCUAGUUGGUAAGGUAACGGCUUACCAAGGCAACGAUGCAUAGCCGACCUGAGAGGGUGAUCGGCCACACUGGAACUGAGACACGGUCCAGACUCCUACGGGAGGCAGCAGUAGGGAAUCUUCCGCAAUGGGCGAAAGCCUGACGGAGCAACGCCGCGUGAGUGAUGAAGGUCUUCGGAUCGUAAAACUCUGUUAUUAGGGAAGAACAUAUGUGUAAGUAACUGUGCACAUCUUGACGGUACCUAAUCAGAAAGCCACGGCUAACAACGUG